RNAcentral lists this long non-coding RNA (247 nucleotides) under Zalophus californianus (California sea lion). RNAcentral's name for it is "lncRNA (ENSZCAG00015001157.1)". The record is from RNAcentral. Lineage: Eukaryota; Metazoa; Chordata; Mammalia; Carnivora; Otariidae.
ACUUUCUGGUUGCAAAUGACAGAAAUCGUAACAAACCAAGAUAAAAGAAAAAGAAGGGUGAAGGAAGGGAAGAAGGAAGAAAUUGGCACCUGUAACAACAAAGUUCAGAGAUGGACUUCAGGAAACCUAGUGAAAUGGAAAUGCCUCAUUGUCAUGGCAGCCGGAUCUCUGAAUCAGUGCAUAGAAAACAGGCCCUUUGGAGAGUCAUCCAGACUUGCAACACACUUUGUAUAAAUAAGAAAUAAAC